CUCAAUCUCUUUGUUCUUCUUCUUCUUCUUCUUCUUUUUCUGCUUUUCAAUUUCAUCACUCCCUACAUCAAUUGCACCAUCAACAACAGCAAUAGCCUCAAUAGCAUCCUCAUUUUCAUUGCUCUUCUUCUUCUUCUUUUUCUUCUUUUCAAUUUCAUCAUUCCCUACAUCAAUUGCACCAUCAACAACAGCAAUAGACUCAAUAGCAUCCUCAUUUUCGUUGCUCUUUUUCUUCUUUUCAAUUUCAUCACUCCCUACAUCAAUUGCACCAUCAACAACAGCAACAGCCUCAAUAGCAUCCUCAUUUUCAUUGCUCUUCUUCUUCUUCUUCUUCUUCUUCUUCUUUUUCUUAUUUUCAAUUUCAUCACUCCCUGCAUCAAUUGCACCAUCAACAACAGCAAUAGCCUCCUCAUUCUCUUUGUUCUUCUUCUUCUUCUUCUUCUUCUUCUUCUUUUUCUUCUUUUCAAUUUCAUCACUCCCUACAUCAAUUGCACCAUCAACAACAGCAAUAGCCUCAAUAGCAUCCUCAUUUUCAUUGCUCUUCUUCUUCUUCUUUUUCUUCUUUUCAAUUUCAUCACUCCCUACAUCAAUUGCACCAUCAACAACAGCAAUAGACUCAAUAGCAUCCUCAUUUUCGUUGCUCUUUUUCUUCUUUUCAAUUUCAUCACUCCCCACAUCAAUUGCACCAUCAACAACAGCAAUAGCCUCAAUAGCAUCCUCAUUUUCAUUGCUCUUCUUCUUCUUCUUUUUCUUCUUUUCAAUUUCAUCACUCCCUACAUCAAUUGCACCAUCAACAACAGCAAUAGACUCAAUAGCAUCCUCAUUUUCGUUGCUCUUUUUCUUCUUUUCAAUUUCAUCACUCCCCACAUCAAUUGCACCAUCAACAACAGCAAUAGCCUCAAUAGCAUCCUCAUUUCCAUUGCUCUUCUUCUUCUUCUUUUUCUUAUUUUCAAUUUCAUCACUCCCUAC
RNAcentral lists this long non-coding RNA (969 nucleotides) under Gossypium barbadense (sea-island cotton). RNAcentral's name for it is "long non-coding RNA (GBAR_LNC012065)". Lineage: Eukaryota; Viridiplantae; Streptophyta; Magnoliopsida; Malvales; Malvaceae. The record is from RNAcentral.